RNAcentral lists this ribosomal RNA (253 nucleotides) under uncultured bacterium. Its description in RNAcentral is "partial 16S ribosomal RNA". It matches the Rfam family "Bacterial small subunit ribosomal RNA", at positions 524 to 776 of the family's 1533-position model. The record is from RNAcentral.
UACGUAGGUGGCAAGCGUUGUCCGGAUUUACCGGGUGUAAAGGGCGUGUAGGCGGAGCUGCAAGUCAGAUGUGAAAUCCCGGGGCUCAACCCCGGAACUGCAUUUGAAACUGUAGCCCUUGAGUAUCGGAGAGGCAGGCGGAAUUCCUAGUGUAGCGGUGAAAUGCGUAGAUAUUAGGAGGAACACCAGUGGCGAAGGCGGCCUGCUGGACGACAACUGACGCUGAGGCGCGAAAGCGUGGGGAGCAAACAGG